RNAcentral lists this ribosomal RNA (1466 nucleotides) under metagenome. RNAcentral describes it as "bacterial SSU rRNA". It matches the Rfam family "Bacterial small subunit ribosomal RNA". The record is from RNAcentral.
AGAGUUUGAUCCUGGCUCAGGAUUAACGCUGGCGGCGUGCCUUAUGCAUGCAAGUCGAACGAUCUUAACUUCGGUUGGAUAGUGGCGAACGGGUGAGUAACGCGUAGGUGACCUACCUUAAGGCGGGGGACAACCCCGAGAAAUUGGGGCUAAUACCGCGUAUGCUCUUGAUUCAAAUUGAGAGUGAAAGUUCUUCGGGACGCCUUUUGCGGGGCCUGCGUUCGAUUAGCUUGUUGGUGGGGUAAUGGCCUACCAAGGCGAAGAUCGAUAGCUGGUCUGAGAGGAUGAUCAGCCACACUGGAACUGAGACACGGUCCAGACUCCUACGGGAGGCAGCAGCAAGGAAUCUUGCACAAUGGGGGAAACCCUGAUGCAGCAACGCCGCGUGAGUGAUGAAGGCUUUCGGGUUGUAAAGCUCUUUUAUUGGGGACGAGAAAAAGGACGGUACCCAAUGAAUAAGCCACGGCUAACUACGUGCCAGCAGCCGCGGUAAAACGUGGGUGGCGAGCGUUAUCCGGAUUUAUUGGGCGUAAAGGGCCCGCAGGCGGCACAUUAAGUCAGGUGUGAAAUCUCCCGGCUCAACUGGGAGGGGACACUUGAAACUGAUGAGCUUGAGGACAGCAGGGGGAAGCGGAACUCCCGGUGUAGCGGUGAUAUGCGUAGAUAUCGGGAGGAACACCAAUGGCGAAGGCGGCUUCCUGGGCUGUUUCUGACGCUGAGGGGCGAAAGCGUGGGGAGCAAACCGGAUUAGAUACCCGGGUAGUCCACGCUGUAAACGAUGGAUACUAGGUAUGGGGGGUAUCGACCCCUUCCGUGCCGAAGCUAACGCCAUAAGUAUCCCGCCUGGGGACUACGGCCGCAAGGCUAAAACUCAAAGGAAUUGACGGGGGCCCGCACAAGCAGCGGAGCGUGUGGUUUAAUUCGACGAUACGCGAAGAACCUUACCAAGACUUGACAUCGUAAUGCUAGCCUGAGAAACCAGGUGUCCCUUCGGGGCGUUAUGACAGAUGCUGCAUGGCUGCCGUCAGCUCGUGCCGUGAGGUGUUGGGUUAAGUCCCGCAACGAGCGCAACCCUUGUCGCUAGUUGAUUUCUCUAGCGAGACUGCCCCGCGAAACGGGGAGGAAGGCGGGGAUGACGUCAAGUCAGCACGGCUCUUACGUCUUGGGCUACACACACGCUACAAUGGGUGGUACAGAGGGUUGCGAAGGAGCGAUCCGGAGCUAAUCUCACAAAGCCAUCCUCAGUUCGGAUUGCAGGCUGCAACUCGCCUGCAUGAAGUCGGAGUUGCUAGUAAACGCAGGUCAGCAAUACUGCGUUGAAUACGUUCUCGGGCCUUGUACACACCGCCCGUCACGUCAUGAAAGUUGGCAACACCUGAAGUCGGUGGGCCAACCCGCAAGGGAGGCAGCCGCCCAAGGUGGGGCUAGCGAUUGGGACGAAGUCGUAACAAGGUAGCUGUAGCGAA